RNAcentral lists this ribosomal RNA (470 nucleotides) under uncultured Basidiomycota. RNAcentral describes it as "eukaryotic LSU rRNA". Lineage: Eukaryota; Fungi; Basidiomycota. The record is from RNAcentral.
CUUUCGGCCACCAUUUUACCCAUAACCGUUCUAAGGGUAAUUGGAAGGUUAAAACCCUAUUUAUUAACCAAUAAGUACAAGAACCUUUUCAAACCAACCGGGAGCUCUGGCUUUCCCACCAUCCGAGAAGACCGCAGCCGAAAUCGAUUAAGGUAAUGUGAAUUUGCAGAAUUUCAGUGAAUUCUUCGAGUUCUUUGAACCGCACCCUUGCGCCCCUUUGGAUUCCGAAGGGCCAUGCCUGUUUGAGUGUCAGAAACCCUCAACCCCCUCAGGUUUUAUUAUCUGUUGGGCUUUGGAUUUGGGUGUCGCCGCGACCCGCAAAGGACGUCGGUCUGCCUUAAAGGUUAGUAGAAGUGACAACCGUCAGCCUGGGUAAUAAGUUUCGCUGGGUCUUGGGGUAGUCUUCGGCUGCUCAUAACGACCAUCUUAUAAUCUGUACCUCAAAUCGAGUGAGCCUACCGCCUACUACC